CCUACGGGAGGCUGCAGUGAGGAAUAUUGGUCAAUGGGCGAGAGCCUGAACCAGCCAAGUCGCGUGAGUGAAGAAGUAUUUCGGUAUGUAAAGCUCUAUCAGCAGGGAAGAAAGAUAUGACGGUACCUGACUAAGAAGCCCCGGCUAACUACGUGCCAGCAGCCGCGGUAAUACGUCGGGGGCAAGCGUUAUCCGGAUUUACUGGGUGUAAAGGGAGCGUAGGCGGCGAUGCAAGUCUGAAGUGAAAGGCGGGGGCCCAACCCCCGGACUGCUUUGGAAACUGGAUGGCUUGAGUGCAGGAGAGGUAAGUGGAAUGCCUAGUGUAGCGGUGAAAUGCAUAGAUAUUAGGAAGAACACCAGUUGCGAAGGCGGCUUACUGGACUGUAACUGACGUUGAGGCUCGAAAGCGUGGGGAGCAAACAGGAUUAGAUACCCGUGUAGUC
This 443-nucleotide ribosomal RNA is filed under the name uncultured bacterium. RNAcentral's name for it is "partial 16S ribosomal RNA". It matches the Rfam family "Bacterial small subunit ribosomal RNA", at positions 338 to 795 of the family's 1533-position model. The record is from RNAcentral.